AAAAGCUCGUAGUUGGAUCUCAGCUCCUGCCGGACGGUCCGCCUACCGGUGGUUACUGUUCGUCGCAGAGCGUUAGGACAGCUGCUUUUGGUGAUCUUUACCGGUUGUCUCGGGUGGCUGUCAAGUUUACUUUGAAAAAAUUAGAGUGCUCAAAGCAGGCGUGAUGCCUGAAUAAUUGUGCAUGGAAUAAUGGAAUAGGACCUCGGUUCUAUUUUGUUGGUUUUCGGAACACGAGGUAAUGAUUAAGAGGGACAGACGGGGGCAUUCGUAUUGCGACGCUAGAGGUGAAAUUCUUGGACCGUCGCAAGACGAACUACUGCGAAAGCAUUUGCCAAGAAUGUUUCCAUUAAUCAAGAACGAAAGUUAGAUGUUCGAAGGCGAUCAGAUACCGCCCUAGUUCUAACCAUAAACGAUGCCAGCCAGCGAUCCGGCUGUGUUCCUCAAAUGACACGCCGGGCAGCUUCCGGGAAACCAAAGCUUUUGGGUUCCGGGGGAAGUAUGGUUGCAAAGCUGAAACUUAAAGGAAUUGACGGAAGGGCACCACCAGGAAUGGAGCCUGCGGCUCAAUUUGACUCAACACGGGGAAACUUACCCGGCCCGGACACAGGAAGGAUUGACAGAUUAAGAGCUCUUUCUUGAUUCUGUGGGUGGUGGUGCAUGGCCGUUCUUAGUUGGUGGGGUGACUUGUCUGGUUAAUUCCGAUAACGAACGAGACUCUAGCCUACUAAAUAGACGUUCCCGUCAUCUUUCGCGGGACGUUCUUCUUAGAGGGACAAGCGGCGUUUAGCCGCACGAGACAGAGCAAUAACAGGUCUGAGAUGCCCUUAGAUGUCCGGGGCCGCACGCGCGCUACAUUGAAGGAAUCAGCGUGUGCUUUCCCUGUCCGAAAGGACUGGGUAACCCGUUGAACCUCCUUCGUGCUGGGGAUUGGCGUUUGUAAUUGCCGCCAUGAACGAGGAAUUUCCAGUAAGCACGAGUCAUCAGCUCGUGUUGAUUACGUCCCUGCCCUUUGUCCACACCGCCCGUCGCUACUACCGAUUGAAUGAUUUAGUGAGGUCUUCGGACUGGCGCUCGGAUUGGCCUUCGCGGUCGAGCCGGUGUGCCGGAAAGAUGACCAAACUUGAUCAUUUAGAGGAAGUAAAAGUCGUAACAAGGUUUU
RNAcentral lists this ribosomal RNA (1159 nucleotides) under Neoscona domiciliorum. RNAcentral describes it as "SSU rRNA". It matches the Rfam family "Eukaryotic small subunit ribosomal RNA", at positions 622 to 1803 of the family's 1831-position model. The record is from RNAcentral. Lineage: Eukaryota; Metazoa; Arthropoda; Arachnida; Araneae; Araneidae.